RNAcentral lists this ribosomal RNA (371 nucleotides) under uncultured organism. Its description in RNAcentral is "bacterial SSU rRNA". It matches the Rfam family "Bacterial small subunit ribosomal RNA", at positions 526 to 896 of the family's 1533-position model. The record is from RNAcentral.
CGUAUGGUGCGAACGUUGUUCGGAAUCACUGGGCAUAAAGAGCACGUAGGCGGUUAAGCAAGUCCAUUGUGAAAUCCCCCGGCUUAACCGGGGAACUGCAGUGGAUACUACUUGACUGGAGUGCAGGAGGGGAGAGUGGAAUUCCAGGUGGAGCGGUGAAAUGCGUAGAUAUCUGGAGGAACGCCGGCGGCGAAAGCGACUCUCUGGCCUGUAACUGACGCUGAGGUGCGAAAGCUAGGGGAGCAAACGGGAUUAGAUACCCCGGUAGUCCUAGCCCUAAACGAUGGGCACUAAGUAGAGGGAAUCCUAUAUUCUCUCUGCCGGAGCUAAUGCAUUAAGUGCCCCGCCUGGGGAGUAUGGUCGCAAGGCUA